Long non-coding RNA from Pan troglodytes (chimpanzee), 2839 nucleotides. RefSeq lists it as uncharacterized. The record is from RefSeq and is a predicted model, not a curated record. The transcript is spliced from 3 exons. Lineage: Eukaryota; Metazoa; Chordata; Mammalia; Primates; Hominidae.
GUUGGGAAACAGAGAGGACACUGGGGAGAGGAAAGUUAAAGGGAAAAUCCGGAACACAGAGAUCGCUUCUGGUCUCUGCGGAGGAAGCCAGGCCCCCAGGGCGCCCAUAUCCAGCAGGUGGCAGUAAAGUGUUUUGUCCAAACUAAAUUACAACGACUACUUCCCAAUAGAUGGAAGCAAAGCGUCUGGACGAAGGAGAGCUUUUUUCUCAUGGUGCUGCUGUGUUAGCCUAGUGACAGCUCUGUAUGGCCCACACCUGGUCCACAGGAAGCUCUCAGGCACCUCUUGCCCGAACAAACUUGGGAGUACAGGCUAAUCCCAGUGCAGAUUCAACAUUCCUCUACUCUGCUGCCAAAACAGCCGCCAGCCUGUGGGAGUCAGACACAGGCCCACGGUGCCCCUCAGACUGCAGGAGGUACAAGUCAAGUGCUCUGAGGAGUUCCAUUGAAGGCCCACUCCCUCGACUUGAAGUAAAAGGCAGGCAGGCACCUGUGGAUCUGCUGAAUACAGACAUUUUUGAUUGUCACCACUGGAGAGGUGCUAUUGGCUGGUGGGAGAAGGUCAAGGAUGCUGGUAAACAUCCUUUACGGCACAGGACAGCCCCUACAGCAAAGAACAGCAAUUCUGUUUGUUACAGAGAUGAGAGAAUACCUCACUAAAAGAAUACUUCAAAAUUACAUCACUUUUUCUUCUUUUUUCCUACAAAUUCUUUACCUGUAGAUGGAAACGUCACAUUUCAAUAUAUCAAUAGAGUCAAAAAUAGCAUUUGCAAUAGCUAUUUGGCCAGGAUGAGAAGUGACUGGUAUAGACCAAUCCUUUGUGUUUCCAAGACUCCCUCUGGAGAUGAGGCCAUGCCAGGAAAAUUAGUACUUGAGAUAAAAUUGUUAUUUAUUUGCAAGAUGACUUUUAAGCCUGGAAAACAAGCAUUCUAUCCAGCUUAUCUGAACAGAGGCAUUAUGCCUCUCAGAAGUAAGGUCAUGAGUCACAUCACUGUGGAAGGAAUAUAUCUUUGCUACAACCUGGAGUGCAUUCUAGAUGCCAGGGAGGACCUCAGCAUAUCUGCCUCCCCAAGGUCACCAGUGUCACUGGAAUGAGACUUGAAGUCGGGAAGUAGCUGUCUCUGCAGUUACUUUACAGAUGGCUAAUAAUGCCCUCAUUAUUCACAGAGAAUGCAAAUGGGUUCUUCCAUCCUUUACAUGAGUUUGACUGAAUUCAUCUCUUCCAGAUGUAGCAGGAUGUUGAGCCCUUCCCUUGCACCAUCAGUAAGGAAACUUUUAAUCAGGUGUUUUCCUUACCGUUACUGAUCUCCCUGAGCAAGGCUGUUUGAGUACUGGGAUAUAGAUUAACUUGAGUUCAGUCAAGGCUGCCUUGUCUUUCUUAAUACGAUGUUAAUAAGAAACGAGCCACCCUAGCCAGAAAAGCCAAAAAGAUAUAUUCUAUCCCCACCAAUUCUAUCACUUAAAAGUAAAAUAGAUAAAACAAACAUUCCAAGUUCCAGUUCUAGCCCUGUUACUAGCCUUUUGACUCUGGUCAAGUUACUUAACUUAGUUGUACCUUAGAUUCCCCAUUAGUCAAAUAGGGAAACAGACUUAAAUGAAUUGGUAUGCAUAAAAGUGCUUUAUUAGCCAUAUACAAUUUUUUCAGUUCCCUCUCCUAUACUGCAUUCAGAGGCCUAGAGAACAACCUGAAAAUGUCUUGCUUUCAUAUCUGGAUUUUUAUUGCCAGGAAUGAGGCCCAGUGUGAACACCUUUCUUGACAGAAAUUGCCAAAUCUUUGUCUAUCUAUUUGUAAAUGAAAACCAAGAACCACUAAGAAUUCCCCCAAACUCUCGGUGCUGGUUUUAAGAUCUUCUGAGCCUUGUAAGUUACAGUAAAUACAAGCACAUCUCUUCCCCAAUUAGAAGCAUAUUUACACUGCCAAUUUGUAGAACAAGACAUGACUGUAAAUACAGAUAGGAAGCCAUCAUUACAUGCAGUCUUGUGUGCAGGGAAAAACAAGUGCAUAUGGAGAUGAGAUUGUGACUACUCUUGAUUCUCACAGAGCAGUAAAAUGCUAUCAAAUUCAGUCAAACUCAGCUAAUGAAUUUUCUCCUUGAGGUAGUCUCCUCUACUGGGAAGAAAGGAAGAACUAAAAACACAUCAAAUUUAAAUCCUCUGGUAAAAGAGAAGCAACUCACCAUUAGAGAGAUGUAUUGCUGGCUCUUCCAAGAAAUGGAGUGGAAAUCUUUCUGUGCCACUUUGCCCAGGACCAUUGUGCCAGUGUGCAAGAAUGUGUGUUUUUCAUAAACAGAAAAAUAUCACUAGCUGCAAAGAGAAGAAACUGUUCCAGGGUGUACAGAUCCCACGCCAGCCUCCAAAAUAAUGGCAAAUACUGUUCUGAUCUUAGCAACCCAGAAUAACCUUUGUGCCAUUUAUUUAUUCAACACAUAUUUCUUGGGCAGAUAUUAUGGGUCAGGCACUGUGCUAGGCGAUAUGAUCAUGAUCUCUGCCCUGGAAAAGCUUCAUCUUACAUAUCUCUGGAAUAAAAUAUUUUGGUGGAAUAGAACCAAAGUUAACAUAAUGUGGAUUUCAGCUUCUAUAUUCACUCAUAUAGCCACUGGUGCCAGUCACAUCCAGUUUGGAGAGCUGGAACAAUUAACAGUAAGUCUCAUCUUUGCCAAGUCCACAUAUUUGGCCUGAUAACUCAGAAUUCAGUGUAUGACAAUAAUGUAGGCCAAUACUAUCAUCAGCUAUAAGACUAAUUUGUUUUGGUUUCUUUAUUAAAUUCCUAUAAUCAGCUAGAUAUUUUUUCCACAAUCAGAACUUUUAUUGUUGAAAAUAAAUAAAUAACAAAGAAUAAA